CUACGGGGUGCUCCAGUAAGGAAUAUUGCGCAAUGGAGGCGACUCUGACGCAGCCAUGCCGCGUGCAGGAAGAAGGCCUUAUGGGUCGUAAACUGCUUUUAUUUAGGAAUAAACCCCCGAACGUGUUCGGGGCUGAAGGUACUAAACGAAUAAGCACCGGCUAACUCCGGCCAGCAGCCGCGGUAAUACGGAGGGUGCAAGCGUUAUCCGGAUUUAUUGGGUUUAAAGGGUGCGCAGGCGGGCUAUUAAGUCAGUGGUGAAAUCCCGGGGCUCAACUCCGGAACUGCCAUUGAUACUGAUAGUCUUGAGUUUGGUUGAAGUGGGCGGAAUGUAGCAUGUAGCGGUGAAAUGCAUAGAUAUGCUACAGAACACCAAUCGCGAAGGCAGCUCACUAAGCCAAAACUGACGCUCAUGCACGAAAGCGUGGGGAUCAAACAGGAUUAGAUACCCCGGUAGUC
RNAcentral lists this ribosomal RNA (458 nucleotides) under uncultured bacterium. RNAcentral's name for it is "partial 16S ribosomal RNA". It matches the Rfam family "Bacterial small subunit ribosomal RNA", at positions 339 to 795 of the family's 1533-position model. The record is from RNAcentral.